This is a non-coding RNA of Pangasius djambal, 68 nucleotides long. The record is from the annotation of a GenBank genome assembly. Lineage: Eukaryota; Metazoa; Chordata; Actinopteri; Siluriformes; Pangasiidae.
CUAUAGGACUAGUGGUUAGGCUAGAGUGCUCUCAACGCUGCAGUCUGGGUUCGAUUCCCGGCCAGAGA